RNAcentral lists this ribosomal RNA (391 nucleotides) under uncultured bacterium. RNAcentral describes it as "bacterial SSU rRNA". It matches the Rfam family "Bacterial small subunit ribosomal RNA", at positions 28 to 420 of the family's 1533-position model. The record is from RNAcentral.
GACGAACGCUGGCGGCGUGCUUAACACAUGCAAGUCGAGCGGUAAGGCCCUUUCGGGGGUACACGAGCGGCGAACGGGUGAGUAACACGUGGGUGACCUGCCUUUAGCUCUGGGAUAAGCCUGGGAAACUGGGUCUAAUACCGGAUACGACUCCGCGGUGCAUGCUGUGGGGUGGAAAGCCUUGUGCGGCUGGAGAUGGGCCCGCGGCCUAUCAGCUUGUUGGUGGGGUGAUGGCCUACCAAGGCGACGACGGGUAGCCGGCCUGAGAGGGCGACCGGCCACACUGGGACUGAGACACGGCCCAGACUCCUACGGGAGGCAGCAGUGGGGAAUCUUGCGCAAUGGGCGAAAGCCUGACGCAGCGACGCCGCGUGAGGGAUGACGGCCUCGG